UGGGGAAUAUUGCACAAUGGGCGCAAGCCUGAUGCAGCCAUGCCGCGUGUAUGAAGAAGGCCUUCGGGUUGUAAAGUACUUUCAGCGAGGAGGAAGGCGUUGUGGUUAAUAACCGCAACGAUUGACGUUACUCGCAGAAGAAGCACCGGCUAACUCCGUACCAGCAGCCGCGGUAAUACGGAGGGUGCAAGCGUUAAUCGGAAUUACUGGGCGUAAAGCGCACGCAGGCGGUCUGUCAAGUCGGAUGUGAAAUCCCCGGGCUCAACCUGGGAACUGCAUCCGAAACUGGCAGGCUAGAGUCUUGUAGAGGGGGGUAGAAUUCCAGGUGUAGCGGUGAAAUGCGUAGAGAUCUGGAGGAAUACCGGUGGCGAAGGCGGCCCCCUGGACAAAGACUGACGCUCAGGUGCGAAAGCGUGGGGAGCAAACA
Molecule: ribosomal RNA, 427 nt
Filed under: uncultured bacterium
Lineage: Bacteria
Description: partial 16S ribosomal RNA
Rfam family: Bacterial small subunit ribosomal RNA
Source: RNAcentral